GACGAACGCUGGCGGCGUGCUUAACACAUGCAAGUCGACCGGAAAGGCCCUGCUUUUGUGGGGUGCUCGAGUGGCGAACGGGUGAGUAACCCGUGAGUAACCUGCCCUUGACUUUGGGAUAACUUCCGGAAACUGGGGCUAAUACCGGAUAGGAGCUCCUGCUGCAUGGUGGGGGUUGGAAAGUUUCGGCGGUUGGGGAUGGACUCGCGGCUUAUCAGCUUGUUGGUGGGGUAGUGGCUUACCAAGGCUUUGACGGGUAGCCGGCCUGAGAGGGUGACCGGCCACAUUGGGACUGAGAUACGGCCCAGACUCCUACGGGAGGCAGCAGUGGGGAAUAUUGCACAAUGGGCGGAAGCCUGAUGCAGCAACGCCGCGUGCGGGAUGACGGCCUUCGGGUUGUAAACCGCUUUCGCCUGUGACGAAGCGUGAGUGACGGUAAUGGGUAAAGAAGCACCGGCUAACUACGUG
This 468-nucleotide ribosomal RNA is filed under the name uncultured bacterium. RNAcentral's name for it is "partial 16S ribosomal RNA". It matches the Rfam family "Bacterial small subunit ribosomal RNA", at positions 28 to 507 of the family's 1533-position model. The record is from RNAcentral.